UACGUAGGGGCGAGCGUUAUCCGGAAUUAUUGGGCGUAAAGGGUUCGCAGGUGGUCUGUUAAGUCAGAUGUGAAAGGCAGUGGCUCAACCAUUGCAAGCAUUUGAAACUGGCAGACUUGAGUACAGGAGAGGAAAGCGGAAUUCCUAGUGUAGCGGUGAAAUGCGUAGAUAUUAGGAGGAACACCAGUGGCGAAGGCGGCUUUCUGGACUGAAACUGACACUGAGGAACGAAAGCGUGGGGAGCAAACAGGAUUAGAUCCCUGGUA
Molecule: ribosomal RNA, 266 nt
Filed under: uncultured prokaryote
Description: partial 16S ribosomal RNA
Rfam family: Bacterial small subunit ribosomal RNA
Source: RNAcentral